GAGGAGUCAUGGACCAUGACACGGCU
This 26-nucleotide non-coding RNA is filed under the name Rattus norvegicus (Norway rat). Lineage: Eukaryota; Metazoa; Chordata; Mammalia; Rodentia; Muridae. The record is from RNAcentral.